GUCCACGCAGUAAACGAUGAUAGCUCGUUGUCGGCGAUACACAGUCGGUGACUAAGAGAAAUCGAUAAGCUAUCCACCUGGGGAGUACGUUCGCAAGAAUGAAACUCAAAGGAAUUGACGGGGGCCCGCACAAGCGGAGGAACAUGUGGUUUAAUUCGAUGAUACGCGAGGAACCUUAUCCGGGCUUGAAAGUUACUGACGAUUCUGGAAACAGGAUUUCCCUUCGGGGCAGGAAACUAGGUGCUGCAUGGUUGUCGU
RNAcentral lists this ribosomal RNA (258 nucleotides) under uncultured bacterium. RNAcentral describes it as "partial 16S ribosomal RNA". It matches the Rfam family "Bacterial small subunit ribosomal RNA", at positions 793 to 1055 of the family's 1533-position model. The record is from RNAcentral.